This 253-nucleotide ribosomal RNA is filed under the name uncultured bacterium. Its description in RNAcentral is "partial 16S ribosomal RNA". It matches the Rfam family "Bacterial small subunit ribosomal RNA", at positions 524 to 776 of the family's 1533-position model. The record is from RNAcentral.
UACAGAGGGGGCAAGCGUUAUUCGGAAUUAUUGGGCGUAAAGGAGCUGUAGGCGGCCUGUCGCGUCGGCUGUGAAAACCUGGGGCUCAACCCCGGGCCUGCAGCCGAUACGGGCAAGCUAGAAUUCGGUAGGGGAGACUGGAAUUCCUGGUGUAGCGGUGAAAUGCGCAGAUAUCAGGAGGAACACCGGUGGCGAAGGCGGCUACCUGGACCAGCACUGACACUGAGGCACGAAAGCGUGGGGAGCAAACAGG